RNAcentral lists this transfer RNA (64 nucleotides) under Hypoaspis linteyini. RNAcentral's name for it is "tRNA-Ala". The record is from RNAcentral. Lineage: Eukaryota; Metazoa; Arthropoda; Arachnida; Mesostigmata; Laelapidae.
AGAUAAAUAUUUUAAAUUAAAAUAUCUAUUCUGCAAAUAGAAAAUGUUCUUAUAACUUUAUCUG